This 255-nucleotide unclassified non-coding RNA is filed under the name air metagenome. RNAcentral's name for it is "partial contains small subunit ribosomal RNA, internal transcribed spacer 1, and 5.8S ribosomal RNA". The stretch from base 1 to 46 matches the Rfam family "Eukaryotic small subunit ribosomal RNA", at positions 1786 to 1831 of the family's 1831-position model. The record is from RNAcentral.
AAGUCGUAACAAGGUUUCCGUAGGUGAACCUGCGGAAGGAUCAUUAAACAUAUUACGGGGGGCCGGAACCACUGAUUGCGUGUCUCAUGCUCUCGACCUGCCCUGUCUGAAUAUUCUACCCAUGUCUUUUGCGUACUAUUUGUUUCCUUGGUGGGCUUGCCCGCCGAUAGGACACCAUAAAACCUUUUGUAAUUGCAGUCAGCGUCAGAAAUAAUUUAAUAAUUAAAACUUUCAACAACGGAUCUCUUGGUUCUG